Molecule: ribosomal RNA, 252 nt
Filed under: uncultured bacterium
Lineage: Bacteria
Description: partial 16S ribosomal RNA
Rfam family: Bacterial small subunit ribosomal RNA
Source: RNAcentral
UACGUAGGGUGCAAGCGUUAAUCGGAAUUACUGGGCGUAAAGCGUGCGCAGGCGGUUUUGUAAGUCUGAUGUGAAAUCCCCGGGCUCAACCUGGGAAUUGCAUUGGAGACUGCAAGGCUAGAAUCUGGCAGAGGGGGUAGAAUUCCACGUGUAGCAGUGAAAUGCGUAGAGAUGUGGAGGAACACCGAUGGCGAAGGCAGCCCCCUGGGUCAAGAUUGACGCUCAUGCACGAAAGCGUGGGGAGCAAACAGG